AUUAGAAAUCGUCUCAUAUAUGUUCCAUAAAUAAUUUCGUGUACGUACACAGAAAAAAUUCGAUGAAGGGUAUAAUUGUAAUUUUCCAGUCAUCUUCAACCUGUGUAUCCUUUUCUGCAAACCUAAUUUUGCGGCCGUCUUUAUCAGUUUUCUCAAAAUCUCAUUUUUUUACGUUUUGAUUACUAUUUAUAAAUAAAUCUUGUAAACUUAGAGUAUCUUUAGUUUAAAAAGCUAAAGUGUUUGUAUCUAGGAGCUUUUUUUUUGCAUUUUGUUCAUCUCUGAAAACAAGAAAUUUGUUCCUCAAUUUUGGAGUUCAAUGGAGAGAUGUCGAAAUAUGAAGGAGUGGAUAAUGAAUUUUGAACUUCUUUCUACUUCUCUCUCGAAUUACUCCGUCUCUUUCUCUUUUUCUUCUUCUUUGUUUCUUUGUUUCAGUGUUUUUUU
RNAcentral lists this small RNA (441 nucleotides) under Arabidopsis thaliana (thale cress). RNAcentral's name for it is "ATSL285420". The record is from RNAcentral. Lineage: Eukaryota; Viridiplantae; Streptophyta; Magnoliopsida; Brassicales; Brassicaceae.